Macaca mulatta (Rhesus monkey) is the source of this 876-nucleotide long non-coding RNA. RefSeq lists it as uncharacterized. The record is from RefSeq and is a predicted model, not a curated record. Lineage: Eukaryota; Metazoa; Chordata; Mammalia; Primates; Cercopithecidae.
CUGGGAGAUUCCAUUUCCCAAAUUCCAUUGUACUUAGGCUGGGGCCAGAUGACUGGACUUUCGCCAGUGGAAUGUGGCGGAAGAGAUGCAAGCUGCUUCUGGGCCUGGCAUGAAAGCCUGAACAUGCUCCCUCUUCCCCUUCUGUGACAACAUGGAAAUUCACGUGUUUAAGAUGGUGGCAGCAUACGAUGGAAGGAGCUUAGAUUCCUGAGUCACCUCCUGGAAGAGAGCCACCAAGCUGCUUUCCAUGUGAUUUGAGGAGUUCUAUGUCCUCCCCUACGACUGAUUGCUGAAGACAGACCUCCCGGCAAGAGCAUUUGACCAAAUCUUGGUGACCCAGAGAAACACGUGUAUCCAUCAGGCAUUGAGUCACAUCAAUGAAACGACACUAAGCCGGGCUCAAUUCUCCAACCUGGUUUUCUUUACAGUUCACUCUCUCCCUGGGGAAGCACUGAGGACCACAAGAGGCUGAGGCAAAGCAUAGUCAUUGACUGUAGAAGACAGUAAUGAAAUACAUAUAAGCAAAGACAAAAGAAAAACAUCCAUAAUUCACUGUCUCGAAGAUGUUCACUAAGUCUUCCAGACUGUCACAGACCUCUGAGCCCAAGCUAAGCCAUCAUCUCCCCAGCGACCUGCACGUACACAUCCAGAUGGCCUGAAGCAACUGAAGAUCCACAGAAGUGAAAACAGCUUAACUGAUGACAUUCCACCACUGUGAUUUGUUUCUGCCCCACCCUAACAGAUCAAUGUACUUUGUAAUUUCCCCUACCCUUGAGAAGUUGCUUUGUAAUUCUCCCUGCCCUUGAGAAUGUACUUGGUGAGCUUCACUCCCUGCCCCCAAAACAUUGCUCUUAACUUCACUGCCUAUCCCAAAAC